This 82-nucleotide transfer RNA is filed under the name Candidatus Ornithospirochaeta stercoravium. Its description in RNAcentral is "tRNA-Leu". It matches the Rfam family "tRNA". From Rfam's summary of the family: Transfer RNA (tRNA) molecules are approximately 80 nucleotides in length. Their secondary structure includes four short double-helical elements and three loops (D, anti-codon, and T loops). Further hydrogen bonds mediate the characteristic L-shaped molecular structure. tRNAs have two regions of fundamental functional importance: the anti-codon, which is responsible for specific mRNA codon recognition, and the 3' end, to which the tRNAs corresponding amino acid is attached (by aminoacyl-tRNA synthetases). tRNAs cope with the degeneracy of the genetic code in two manners: having more than one tRNA (with a specific anti-codon) for a particular amino acid; and 'wobble' base-pairing, i.e. permitting non-standard base-pairing at the 3rd anti-codon position. Lineage: Bacteria; Pseudomonadati; Spirochaetota; Spirochaetia; Spirochaetales; Spirochaetaceae. The record is from RNAcentral.
GCCCAUGUGGCGGAACUGGUAGACGCGCUAGUUUCAGGUACUAGUCUGUAACAAGGUAGGAGUUCGAGUCUCCUCGUGGGCA